AGUGAACGCUGGCGGUAGGCCUAACACAUGCAAGUCGAACGGCAGCACAGUAAGAGCUUGCUCCUACGGGUGGCGAGUGGCGGACGAGUGAGGAAUACAUCGGAAUCUACUUUUUCGUGGGGGAUAACGUAGGGAAAGUUACGCUAAUACCGCAUACGACCUACGGGUGAAAGCAGGGGAUCUUCGGACCUUGCGCGACUGAAUGAGCCGAUGUCGGAUUAGCUAGUUGGCGGGGUAAAGGCCCACCAAGGCGACGAUCCGUAGCUGGUCUGAGAGGAUGAUCAGCCACACUGGAACUGAGACACGGUCCAGACUCCUACGGGAGGCAGCAGUGGGGAAUAUUGGACAAUGGGCGCAAGCCUGAUCCAGCCAUACCGCGUGGGUGAAGAAGGCCUUCGGGUUGUAAAGCCCUUUUGUUGGGAAAGAAAAGCAGCAGGUUAAUACCCCGCUGUUCUGACGGUACCCAAAGAAUAAGCACCGGCUAACUUCGUG
Molecule: ribosomal RNA, 492 nt
Filed under: uncultured bacterium
Lineage: Bacteria
Description: partial 16S ribosomal RNA
Rfam family: Bacterial small subunit ribosomal RNA
Source: RNAcentral